RNAcentral lists this ribosomal RNA (428 nucleotides) under Chloroflexota bacterium. RNAcentral describes it as "Chloroflexi bacterium partial 16S ribosomal RNA". It matches the Rfam family "Bacterial small subunit ribosomal RNA", at positions 355 to 776 of the family's 1533-position model. Lineage: Bacteria; Bacillati; Chloroflexota. The record is from RNAcentral.
UGGGGAAUAUUGCACAAUGGGCGCAAGCCUGAUGCAGCCAUGCCGCGUGUGUGAAGAAGGCCUUCGGGUUGUAAAGCACUUUCAGCGGGGAGGAAGGCGUUAAGGUUAAUAACCUUGGCGAUUGACGUUACCCGCAGAAGAAGCACCGGCUAACUCCGUGCCAGCAGCCGCGGUAAUACGGAGGGUGCAAGCGUUAAUCGGAAUUACUGGGCGUAAAGCGCACGCAGGCGGUUGAUUGAGUCAGAUGUGAAAUCCUAUAGCUCAACUAUAGUAAGCUUUUAAAACUGCUCAUCUUGAGGUAUGGAAGGGAAAGUGGAAUUCCUAGUGUAGCGGUGAAAUGCGCAGAUAUUAGGAGGAAUACCGGUGGCGAAGGCGACUUUCUGGCCAUAACCUGACGCUGAGGUACGAAAGCGUGGGUAGCAAACAGG